Molecule: ribosomal RNA, 255 nt
Filed under: uncultured bacterium
Lineage: Bacteria
Description: partial 16S ribosomal RNA
Rfam family: Bacterial small subunit ribosomal RNA
Source: RNAcentral
UACGGGGGGAGCAAGCGUUGUUCGGAUUUACUGGGCGUAAAGGGCGCGUAGGCGGUCGUGACAAGUCACUUGUGAAAUCUCCGGGCUUAACUCGGAACGGUCAAGUGAUACUGUCGGACUAGAGUUCGGAAGAGGCGAGUGGAAUUCCCCGGUGUAGCGGUGAAAUGCGCAGAUAUCGGGAGGAACACCUAUGGCGAAGGCAGCUCGCUGGGACGUUACUGACGCUGAGACGCGAAAGCGUGGGGAGCAAACAGG